This is a long non-coding RNA of Balaenoptera ricei (Rice's whale), 281 nucleotides long. RefSeq lists it as uncharacterized. The record is from RefSeq and is a predicted model, not a curated record. Lineage: Eukaryota; Metazoa; Chordata; Mammalia; Artiodactyla; Balaenopteridae. The transcript is spliced from 3 exons.
AGUUGGCCGGAUGGUAUCGCUUGCCUCAGAGCUAGAAGCUCCCCCAGCAGGGCCUAGAGGUUGAUGUACAGCUAUCACAGAGACAUCCAUUUGAGUGUACGAGGUACAGUGUGUGCAGCUGGGACCUAAACUUCCAGUCUCUGCUCUUGAGGAGCUUACAGACAAGUGUGAAAAAAGAAGAGGAGAAACAGGACUGUUACCAUCCAGUGACAUGAAGCCUAUGACUGAGAUCUCAACUUGAAAGUCAACUUCCGGGCUUCCCUGGUGGUGCAGUGGUUAAG